Xyrauchen texanus (razorback sucker) is the source of this 2719-nucleotide long non-coding RNA. RefSeq lists it as uncharacterized. The record is from RefSeq and is a predicted model, not a curated record. The transcript is spliced from 6 exons. Lineage: Eukaryota; Metazoa; Chordata; Actinopteri; Cypriniformes; Catostomidae.
GGUAUUAAAGACGCUUUUAAUACCACCAUUGGCUAUAUUUAAAGCUUAUUACGGCAGCUUUCCGUAAGCAGAAUGAGUCAAACGAUUUCCGUCAAAUCCAUAAAUCGCGUGUCAACACGGAAGAACUGUCCAUGGUUCCUGAGGAAAUAAGGUGAGAGUAACUUCCAUGUUACACAGAGACUGCUGGCAGAAUGACUGAAGAAAGCUGCGUCGGCGAAAAUGAGAGGUAUUCCUCUAACGACAGCUCACGUGAAACUUGUAUUUUUUGCUCGAUCGCAAACGACGACCAUAAACUCAGAUAUUGGUUGAUGAUAAGGACAUGGUUUGCUUCCAGGACAUUUUUCCAAGCGCACCUCAUCACUACCUGGUUAUACCAAGGAAACAUAUCCAUAGUUGUUUGUCACUCAAAGUGGAUGAUAUCAGUCUAUGUAAGGGGAUGUUUUUUCAGGGAUGCAUUUGAUUAUUAGAGUGAGAAUCCUUAUUUUGCUAAAAGACUGUUUUGUGUUUAUUUGUAGCCAGCAGGGGGCAGUAAUAGUGUAGGCUUUAAAAAAAGCAUUUUGAGGAUAGGCCUAAUUCACAGACUCACAGAAUAACAGUUGUGGCUAAUUACCAGUAAACUUGUAUGGUGGUCAGAACCAAUUGGUUCUGAGCUGGUCCUGAAACCAAGUCAACAAAAUGAAGAAUCCAGCCCUGGCUUACUUUGCAUUGAUUAGACUAAACAAUCAUGAUACGGUGGGCGUUUUUAGUAAUUGAUUAGGUAAAAAAAAACAUGCAUGUAAACGAGAAAAUAAAGGGCCUUUUACUUACAAUAGUUAAGUAAGAAUGUGAUUUUCCUGAACAUUGAGGAGGAUGGAAGAGAUGGGAAAAGCUGUAUUGAAAGCCAAGAAUGUCACAGAUUUUGAAGACAUCAGGGUUCCACAUUCCACCAAAUAUCACUGUCCCGCACCUGCACCUGCACGUUCUUGCACCUUUCAGUCAACUGUAUAUAGAGACGAGGUUCAAGUACAUAAAUAAAUCGUACCUCACUACCAGCACGUACUACACCACCAAGCCCCUGGCUGUCUGACAUCCUUCUUGAACAUCGGGCUGACCUCGGGGCAGCUGAGAGUAGAUGGCAGAAAUCUAAAGAUCCAGCAGAUCUAGAACAAGCUGCUGGAUGACAAUCAGUCAGGCUUCAAAAGUGGACACUCCACCAAGACUGCCCUGCUGUCUGUCACUGAGUCGCUGAGACAAGCUAGAGCUGAAUCCAGAUCAUCCGUUCUAAUUCUGCUGGACCUUUCUGCAGCCUUUGACACAGUCAACCAUCAGAUCCUACUCUCCACCCUCUAUACUCUGGGCAUCACAGGAACUGUGCUUGACUGGUUUAACUCCUAUCUCUCAGCCCAACGACACCACAGUGACUGCUCGAAUCUCUGCCUGCCUGGCAGACAUCUUGGCCUGGAUGAAGGAACACCACCUGCAACUCAACCCAGCCAAGACCGAACUCCUUGUCUUUCCAGCCAACCCUGCUGUUGAACACAACAUCACCAUGCAGCUGGGUACAACUAAAGUAUCGCCUUCCAAAACGGUCAGAAAUCUAGGGGUAGCCGUUGAUAACAAGCAAAAUUUCACAGACCACAUCUCAAAGACUGCAAGAUCAUGUAGAUUUACAUUCUACAAUAUCAGGAAGAUAAGACCCUUUCUCUCUGAACAUGCCACACAACUGCUUGAUCAGUCACUUGUCAUAACUAGACUGGACUACUGUAACUCUCUCAUUGCAGGCCUCCCUGCAUUUGCAAUUAGACCUCUGCAAAUGAUCCAGAAUGCAGCAGCACGUCUGGUCUUUAAUGAACCAAAGAGAGCACAAGUUACACCACUCUUUGUCUCUCUCCACAGGCUGCCUGUUGAUGCACAUAUUAAAUUCAAGGCUCUGAUGCUGGCAUACAAAACAGUCACUGGGUCUGCCCCAGCAUACUUAAAAUAUUUCUGCAGAACUACAUGCCCACCAGAAGCCUACAGUCAGCUAAGGAACGUCGCCUUGUCGUACCAGCACAAAGAGGCACCAAAUCACUUUCCCGGACUUUCAGUUUCAUCAUACCACGUUGGUGGAAUGACCUUCUGAACUCCAUCCGUGAAGCUGACUUACUCUCUGUCUUAAAAAACAUCCAUGAGCACUUAAAUAGUCACUACAAAAAAUAAUUCUUAUUGCUCUUUAAUCUGUUUUGUAUACUAUUCUGAUGCUAGUGCAACUUUGUAAUAUGGCACUUUUCGUACCACUGUCUCUUUAAGAUGAUUCGCUUAUGUUUUCCUCUUUUGUAAGUCGCUUUGGAUAAAAGCAUCUGCCAAAUGAAUAAAUGUAAAUUUAGGUGAUAAUUCGGGUAUGUCAGCUUUUUUGAAAGACUUGGAUAUUUCGACAAUUAACAGAGCAGCCAAUCGACCUGCAAGAGAUUUUCAACUCAACAUUAGUGUAAUGUAAAAUGGUAAAACCCCUGGCCCCAACAGCUAUCCUGUGGAAUUUUAUAAAGCUUUUUUUUUUUUUCAAAAUUAGCCCCACUUCUUCUAAAAAUGUUUGAAAACUUUUUAAAUAAUGCAAAAUUACCACAGACACUUUACAGAAGCAUUCAUCACACUUCUUUUGAAGUUCAGACCAAUGUCUUUGUUAAAUGUUGAUGUAAAAAUACUUUCCAUAUUGUUAGCAUCUAGCAUUAAUACUAUUAUACCAGAAAUUGUCUCUCCAGAU